This is a long non-coding RNA of Oncorhynchus keta (chum salmon), 2589 nucleotides long. RefSeq lists it as uncharacterized. Lineage: Eukaryota; Metazoa; Chordata; Actinopteri; Salmoniformes; Salmonidae. The transcript is spliced from 8 exons. The record is from RefSeq and is a predicted model, not a curated record.
GACAGUACCCCCCCCCCCCAAAGGUGCGGACUCCGGCCGAGAAUAGAGAAUAAAAAGAGAGGAUAGAAUAGAGAAUAAAAAGCCUCUCUAUGGCCAAGGCGUGACAGUUAGGAGAACAUUUUUAGCUAACCCUAACCCUUUUCCUAACCUUAAACUAAUUAUCCUAACCUGCUACAUUAAUUAUCCUAACCUGCUGCAUAAGUUCUCCAAACCUGCUAUCAAAAAGUCACAUCUCUUCAUAACUGUACACCAUCGAGUCAAAACCCUGAUUCAGUUAGCAGACAGACUGGGCCAGUAGACUAUUUAAAGGUAGAGGUUGUAAAAUAGGACCUCUACUGACUCACAACUCAGUCUGAUGUCAGAAGUGAGUGCCUAAGGAGGAAUGGAAAGGGGUGCAGAUGGAUUCAAAUUAUAUCUUUAGCUCAUGUUGUCGGCUGCUGGCACAUGUACAUGAAUUAAUGAAUGAGGAGACACACUUGCAAGACAGACAAUUACCAUAUUGAUAAUUUGCUAUUUAACGCAACAGUUUUUGUGACAACUAUUGGUAGUUUUGAAAAUUAGAUGGAAACACAUUGAACUUUAGAUUUUUAUUCGGUACAUGAAAACUUAACCGAAAAAGUACAUUUUGUGUGCAAUUCACCAUCAUGCACUGAUUUUUAUCAGUCUGUUUGGUGGAAGACCUACUGAUAUAAAAAUGUGCAUGAAUAUCUUUUGCCAAUUGUAUGGAAACCUAACUAGUAUGUGCCCUAUUUUAUACUUAUAGAUGAUUUUCUAUGGGUUGAUGUGUUUCUCCCUCUUGAGUUUCCUAAUUGAUUUAUUUUCAGAAUGGCUCCCUGCUCAUGCAUGUUUUUCUCUCGCCCCUCUGUCGCCUUUAUUGGACUGGACCAUGGACUGGGUGCCACAGACGCUUGAUGACAACAGACGACGAGGAACGACUGCCAAAUUACUACCACGGACAUGAACAAGCAACGGCAGAUGAGUGACUGACAGCACCUGAGUGGCGCAGCAGUCUAAGACACUGCAUUGUUGCUACAGAUUCUGGUUCAAUACCCGGAGACCCAUGAAGUGAUGGUUCUUUCUAUGGUGCUACUCGUUUUAGAGUUAGGACCGUAAAUGAGACGCUGCUGAGAGGAGAACCAAAACUAAAGAAGUUGACCAACUGCUCACCAUGCACAGCAAGGGAAGUCCGGACCGUUAUGCUGUUCUGCUAUUCCAAGGAUGUGUAACCGAAGAGAGAUACCACGAGUGGACCCAGAAUACCAACUGGGAUGGAUCCCGAGUGAGCCUGUCGACAAAAUUCCAAUUAAAAGGUACACCGUAUUCAAAAGGAUGGUUUAAGCAGAGACAGAGGAGAGAGCGAGCCAGUGCACCAAGAUGAUCAGCAAUAUGUCAGGUCUCUGGGGCAGACCCCGGUUCAAUCACUCCACCCAAAGAGAACACAAGCCCAGAGGAGCAGGAGAUGAUUCUGCUGGCAGAGGAUGCAGAGAGGAGUGCAGAAGAGUGGCCACCCAAAACUUCAACAUCAAACAAUGAACACUGGGACAAUAUAUUUCAACAUCUGAAAGUUGGGAAUGAUGAUAGAUGGAAAAGGAAUGUCUAUUUUGUGAUGUCAUUAAAAUUGGUAGAAAGACGUUAUAACGUAAAUAUUGUAACUUGAAGAGCUUUUGCACUGUGUAUGUCACCCUUUAUGUUGUGUAGAAAAUAUCAAGGACAAAGAUAUUUUUUUUGUGACGAUAAGAUUGUUAUUUUAGUUCUCUAAUGAGAUCAUAGUAAAUGAUACCUUGUCUCGUAACUAGCCACACCCUAAAGGAGCCUAGAGAGCCUGUCCAUUCCUGUCAUUAUUGAAAGAUAUCAUGAUACCUCACAUCUCAAAAUAGGGCUACUUAAUGUUACAUCCCUUUCUUCGAAGGCAAUUAUAGUCAAUGAACUAAUCAAUGAUCAUAAUCUUGAUGUGAUUGGCCUGACUGAAACAUGGCUUAAGCCUGAUGAAUUUACUGUGUUAAAUGAGGCCUCACCUCCUGGCUACACGAGUGACCAUAUCCUCCGUGCAUCCCGCAAAGGCGGAGGUGUUGCUAACAUUUCCGAUAGCAAAUUUCAAUUUACAAAAAAAAUGUGUUUUCUUCUUUUGAGCUUCUAGUCAUGAAAUCUAUGCAAGUGGAGGCAGAGUCGCUGCUAUUUAAGACAAUUUUCCUGAUGAACUGGAAGGACGGCCUUGCGAUGUUGAUUUUGGGGAGCACAAACUCUACCUGUAUUUGGUCACCUUUAUGCCGCAUGCAAAUGUUGAUGGAUAUAUAUCAAUAUUGAUUAUUUAUACUGCAAUGUUGAGGGAGCAAGCAGACAAGCAUGUAUGUGGCUACACCUUCUAUACCUGCUGUAAAUUGUGUACAAAUUAAAGUUUGAUUUGCAUUAUUCAACACAGUUAAAAAGAGAAACAUAUGGUGUGUGGGGGAGGAUGUGUUUGUGUGAGCGUGCGUGUGUUUCAAAUAUAUUGUAUAAAUAGAGUUGUUCACUCAUGUCAUUUACUUAUAGUUCAAUUAAUUCAAUAUCUGGCAGUUAGAUUGAUAAUUCAGCACAGAGCGUUAAAUGUGC